CCCAAUCAGUUCUAGAAAAUGACAAAAAUACCCCUCAUAAAUGACGAAAAUAACCUUACACAAAAAUGGGAAAAAUUAUUUUUGAAACUUUUAUCUGAAAUAUUUUGGAUUUCAAUUUUCGGAACAUAUUUUUGAAUUCUGAAUUUUUUUAUCCAGAAUGUAUUUUUAGUUUUGUGUUUAGAAUUUUUUUUCCAACAUGUAUUUUGUUAUUUCUCAAUUAUAAUUAUUAUUUUGGAUUUUUUAAUUUGGAAUAAGGAUAAUUUUGAAAAUUUAAAAAAUUG
RNAcentral lists this long non-coding RNA (281 nucleotides) under Phaseolus vulgaris (common bean). RNAcentral's name for it is "long non-coding RNA (PVUL_LNC000283)". Lineage: Eukaryota; Viridiplantae; Streptophyta; Magnoliopsida; Fabales; Fabaceae. The record is from RNAcentral.